CCUACGGGUGGCAGCAGUGGGGGAUAUUGCACAAUGGGGGGAACCCUGAUGCAGCGACGCCGCGUGGGUGAAGAAGCGCCUCGGCGCGUAAAGCCCUGUCAGCCGGGAAGAAAAUGACGGUACCUGAAGACGAAGCCCCGGCUAACUACGUGCCAGCAGCCGCGGUAAUACGGAGGGGGCCAGCGUUAUCCGGAUUUACUGGGUAUAAAGGGGGCGCAGACGGCGAUGCAAGCCAGGAGGGAAAGUCCGGGGGCCAACCCCGGGACUGCCCUUGGAACUGCGUGGCUGGAGUGGAGGAGGGGCAGGCGGAAUGCCUGGUGUAGCGGUGAAAUGCGUAGAUAUCAGGAGGAACACCGGUGGCGAAGGCAGCCUGCUGGAGUGCAACUGACGUUGAGGCCCGAAAGCGUGGGGAGCGAACAGGAUUAGAUACCCGGGUAGUC
This 440-nucleotide ribosomal RNA is filed under the name uncultured bacterium. Its description in RNAcentral is "partial 16S ribosomal RNA". It matches the Rfam family "Bacterial small subunit ribosomal RNA", at positions 338 to 795 of the family's 1533-position model. The record is from RNAcentral.